UACGGGGGGCGCAAGCGUUGUUCGGAUUUACUGGGCGUAAAGGGCGCGUAGGCGGCGUGACAAGUCACUUGUGAAAUCUCCGGGCUUAACUCGGAACGGUCAAGUGAUACUGUCGUGCUAGAGUACAGAAGGGGCAACUGGAAUUCUCGGUGUAGCGGUGAAAUGCGUAGAUAUCGAGAGGAACACCUGCGGCGAAGGCGGGUUGCUGGGCUGAUACUGACGCUGAGGCGCGAAAGCCAGGGGAGCAAACGGG
RNAcentral lists this ribosomal RNA (253 nucleotides) under uncultured bacterium. RNAcentral's name for it is "partial 16S ribosomal RNA". It matches the Rfam family "Bacterial small subunit ribosomal RNA", at positions 524 to 776 of the family's 1533-position model. The record is from RNAcentral.